UAGAAUGAAAGGAUAAACAUUUAUAUUCUUUCUUUACAAUAUAUAAUUAAAUUAUAAUAAAUAUAAAAAUCUAUUUAUAAAUUAGGAAGACGACAAGACCCUAAUGAACUUAACUAUAAUUUUACUGGGGAAGUAAAAUAAUAAAAUUUUAUUCAAAAUAUUAAUUCAAGCUCACAAAGAAAUUAAACAAAGUUACCAUAGGGAUAACAGCACAAUUUAUAUUUUAAGUUCUUAUAUUAAUAUAAUAUUAUGACCUCGAUGUUGAAUUAAUA
This 272-nucleotide ribosomal RNA is filed under the name Ochyrocera sp. 514 FL-2019. RNAcentral describes it as "partial large subunit ribosomal RNA". The record is from RNAcentral. Lineage: Eukaryota; Metazoa; Arthropoda; Arachnida; Araneae; Ochyroceratidae.